Molecule: non-coding RNA, 146 nt
Organism: Ceratotherium simum simum (southern white rhinoceros)
Lineage: Eukaryota; Metazoa; Chordata; Mammalia; Perissodactyla; Rhinocerotidae
Source: RefSeq, a predicted model, not a curated record
AAGAGGAGGAUUGGAAUGACUGCUAAUGGGGACAGGGUUUCUUUUUGGGGUGAUGAAAAUGAUCUGAAGUUAGAUAGUGGUGCUGGUUGCACAACUAAAAUACUAAAACCAUCAGUACAUUUUAAAAGGGUGAAUUUUAUGGUACG